Molecule: long non-coding RNA, 1239 nt
Organism: Symphalangus syndactylus (siamang)
Lineage: Eukaryota; Metazoa; Chordata; Mammalia; Primates; Hylobatidae
Source: RefSeq, a predicted model, not a curated record
CUCAUGUCCAGAGGGAAACACUGCCCAUCAGUGGUGCCAGGCCAGGUCUUUCCUCACCUGUGGACUGAGGGGAAGGGGCUAAGGGUGCCAGAGAGCAAGAGGAAGGAAGGUACAGGAAGCUAACACAGUGGGAGGUCCAGCCCCUGGCUACCUAGGGUGCCUGAAGUUCACCAUCGCUGGAUGCAGGCCUUAAGCAUGUAGGUGAGCCAGUCUAGUUGAAGUAGGAUGAGGCCCUGGCUGUGCCUUGCUGGGCGGCCCUUGGCCUUGUGCUUUCAGGGUGGUGCCUGCUCUGUCCCAGGAGACUCUGACUGGGCCCUGGGCCUCCCUCGGCUGGUCCUGUGGUGCAUCAGCACCUGGGCCCAUUGCUGGGUGGGAUGGGCCUGCCACUAGGGUGGACAGAACAUGGUGGUCUCCCCCACAGUAGUGGAAUCACCUCCUCCCAUGGGGCAUCCAUCCCCAGCAGCUGUCCACACACUGAUGAGUGGGAAUCCAUGCCCAUCGGGCCUUGAAGGCAGGAUGGAUGGACAGCCAAACCGCACCAUCUCUUGUGGCUGGCUCCCUGGCUGUGGGCCCAAGCGGAUCAGCAGUAGGUUUACUGGGACAUGACUGGGCUUUGACUGGCUUAAAGAGCACGGAGUGCUGGCAACCCCACUGUCGGGGGCUCAGGCUCCUAACAGGAGGGGUCUGCCCUGAGGCUUUCAACAAGCACCUCAGUUCCUCACAGGAGCCUGAUGAGGUCCCCUGGGCUUAGUGCAGGUGCCAGCACAACAUCUGGCCCAUCCACGGUGUCACAUAUGGUGGGCUUCCAUCGCCCACCCUCCGCUCCAGGUCUCUGUCCACAGGUUUUCUCCUCUGGGAGAAAAUCCACUGGUUUUCUCGUCUGGGAUUCUCUGUCACUGCAGCCCCUUCCCCUCCCUUUCUCCUUGUCUUAGGUUCUUCCUGGGUGCUCCACCCUGGCCCUCUUCUUUUCCUGCCCCUGUACCUAGACCUGCCCUCAAGUGGGGGACUGAGGAGCAACCCCUUCCUCUCCCUUCCCCAGACCCAGAGCUUGGACCCUUAGCUCCUUGGGGUCGCUGGGGCCUGCUCAGGGCUCCAUCAGCCUUAGGCCAGCCCCAAGAUGCUGAUUGAAGAUGAAGGUGAUAAAGUGUGUGUCACUCGUUUGUCUAGCCUGAUUUAUUAGCAGUGUUUGGAGUAUAAUUAUUCUAUAAUAAAAUAACUAUGAGAGAAUAAUAUCCCAAA